Brassica napus (rape) is the source of this 1142-nucleotide long non-coding RNA. RefSeq lists it as uncharacterized. The transcript has 6 exons. Lineage: Eukaryota; Viridiplantae; Streptophyta; Magnoliopsida; Brassicales; Brassicaceae. The record is from RefSeq and is a predicted model, not a curated record.
CACAUCUGAAACCCUCCGAUUGAAACGUCAAUCAUCUUCUUCAAAGAUAGUACGUCUUCUCUGUUUCCUAUAGUAAAUCUCCUUUAGAGCUUCGCUCACUUCAACAAUUAAUUAUGUUCUUCACUCUCCACUUAAUGAAUUCGUAUCACCUUCUUUUCUUUCUACUUCUUUAUAAACUUACUUCCAAAGAAACCCGAAACUCUCAUAAGCCGAAGUUAUGGUGAUGAAACCCAAUCAACAAUGGCCCCUAACAGUUCUAAAGCUAAAGCGGCAUGAAUUGUAUCCUCUCCAGUGUCUUCCGCUGUGAUAUCCAUCCGGACCUCCACCUCAAACGUUUUCGCACGAAGGAGACCCUAUCAGGAGUACUUCUCAGUAGGCUUUCCGCCUCUGCCUCAGCCUCCACCACAGCAAUACAAUCACUGCCUGCUCUCAUGAUAAUAAGCAACGAACGAAUCGUUCCAACUCCAUCUGUUUAUCAUCCUAUAUAAACCUCUAAUAUGAUUCUCUUAAACCAAACCCAUUUCAAAACAUUGCGUUAGAUUUCUAAUCUUCAUGUACAUUUUGCAGGAAGAAAUUGUAAAGGCAGUCACUACGGAUCCAAACACUGGAUUGAAAGUUCCUUUCAGCAGGUUCAAGAUGUAGAGUAUGAGUGGGGCUCUGGAGACAGAUGAGAGAGUAUCGGCUCUAUUGGUGGUGCAUGAAGCAAUAGAACCGUGAGGAGACAGAGGUUCUAAAACAUUUUGGAUUCAUACUUUUUGUGAUGGAUAAGAUCAAGAGACUGUCGUAUGUGCCUGCAGCACUUAGUCUGAAGCAUGCACCUUCUGUGUUAUCAAGAUGAAGAAUAAACUCGCCUAACACAAGUACAACCCGCACACGUAUUAAGAUCACUUGAUCUACGAGAUAAAAAAAAGGUCUGUAAAGUCUCUUUGGAAGCGCAACUUUUUUCUAAAUCUCCGCGCUCCGGGUGUCCCCUUUCUCGAGAGUCAACACUUUGCCAUAGUUUUUCUAACAUAUUUUUUUUUCUUCUGCUUUUUACUAUUUUUAUAGAUGGAAUUUUCUGUAUGAAUUAGUUUUUAUCCAUAUUCCUUCAUAUUGGUUAACUAUCCACUUCUAAUUUGUUCUACCCAUUUAUGUUACGAUUA